RNAcentral lists this ribosomal RNA (321 nucleotides) under uncultured eukaryote. RNAcentral's name for it is "partial 18S ribosomal RNA". It matches the Rfam family "Eukaryotic small subunit ribosomal RNA", at positions 1470 to 1796 of the family's 1831-position model. The record is from RNAcentral.
CCCUUAGAUGUUCUGGGCCGCACGCGUGCUACACUGAGUGGAUCAGCGGGUCAGGUUGCGCGAAAGCGUUUCCUAAUCUUUAAAUCCGCUCGUGAUGGGGAUUGACGGUUGCAAUUUUCUGUCAUGAACGAGGAAUACCUUGUAAGCGCGGGUCAUCAUCCCGCGCUGAAUACGUCCCUGCCCUUUGUACACACCGCCCGUCGCUCCUACCGAUUGAAUGGUCCGGUGAGGCCUCGGGAUUGUGGCCAGUUUCCUUUAUUGGGAGUUGGCUGCGAGAACUUGUCCAAACCUUAUCAUUUAGAGGAAGGUGAAGUCGUAACA